RNAcentral lists this transfer RNA (84 nucleotides) under Myxococcales bacterium. RNAcentral's name for it is "tRNA-Leu". It matches the Rfam family "tRNA". Rfam says of the family: Transfer RNA (tRNA) molecules are approximately 80 nucleotides in length. Their secondary structure includes four short double-helical elements and three loops (D, anti-codon, and T loops). The record is from RNAcentral. Lineage: Bacteria; Pseudomonadati; Myxococcota; Myxococcia; Myxococcales.
GGGGAUGUGGCGGAACUGGCAGACGCGCUAGACUAAGGAUCUAGUGGGGUAAAACCCGUGGAGGUUCGAGUCCUCUCGUCCCCA